UUGGCUCGCUGGCUGGGCGGGUUGCCGCUGGCGUUGCGGUUGGCGGGGGCGUAUUUGGCGGCGACGGGGGCGGCUCUGCUGCCCGAGCCUGGCC
RNAcentral lists this transfer RNA (94 nucleotides) under Plantactinospora endophytica. RNAcentral describes it as "tRNA-Arg". Lineage: Bacteria; Bacillati; Actinomycetota; Actinomycetes; Micromonosporales; Micromonosporaceae. The record is from RNAcentral.